UGGGGAAUAUUGGACAAUGGGCGCAAGCCUGAUCCAGCCAUGCCGCGUGUGUGAAGAAGGCCUUUUGGUUGUAAAGCACUUUAAGCGAGGAGGAGGCUACUUGGAUUAAUACUCUAGGAUAGUGGACGUUACUCGCAGAAUAAGCACCGGCUAACUCUGUGCCAGCAGCCGCGGUAAUACAGAGGGUGCGAGCGUUAAUCGGAUUUACUGGGCGUAAAGCGUGCGUAGGGGGCUUGUUAAGUCGGAUGUGAAAUCCCUGAGCUUAACUUAGGAAUUGCAUUCGAUAAAGGGAAGCUAGAGUAUGGGAGAGGAUGGUAGAAUUCCAGGUGUAGCGGUGAAAUGCGUAGAGAUAUGGAGGAAUACCGAUGGCGAAGGCAGCCAUCUGGCCUAAUACUGACGCUGAGGUACGAAAGCAUGGGGAGCAAACAGG
Molecule: ribosomal RNA, 430 nt
Filed under: bacterium
Lineage: Bacteria
Description: partial 16S ribosomal RNA
Rfam family: Bacterial small subunit ribosomal RNA
Source: RNAcentral